This 456-nucleotide ribosomal RNA is filed under the name uncultured bacterium. RNAcentral's name for it is "bacterial SSU rRNA". It matches the Rfam family "Bacterial small subunit ribosomal RNA", at positions 29 to 479 of the family's 1533-position model. The record is from RNAcentral.
AGUGAACGCUGGCGGCAGGCCUAAUACAUGCAAGUCGAACGGCAGCACAGCAGAGCUUGCUCUGUGGGUGGCGAGUGGCGGACGGGUGAGGAAUACAUGGGAAUCUGCCCAGUCGUGGGGGAUAACGUAUGGAAACGUACGCUAAUACCGCAUGCGCCCUAAGGGGGAAAGCCGGGGACCGCAAGGCCUGGCGCGAUUGGAUGAGCCCAUGUUCGAUUAGCUAGUUGGCGGGGUAAAGGCCCACCAAGGCGACGAUCGAUAGCUGGUCUGAGAGGAUGAUCAGCCACACUGGAACUGAGACACGGUCCAGACUCCUACGGGAGGCAGCAGUAGGGAAUAUUGGACAAUGGGUGCAAGCCUGAUCCAGCCAUGCCGCGUGCAGGAAGAAAGCCUUCUGGGUUGUAAACUGCUUUUGCCAGGGGAUAAAAACACUUUGCGAAGUGGAUUGAAGGUACC